This 748-nucleotide ribosomal RNA is filed under the name uncultured Leptothrix sp. RNAcentral's name for it is "bacterial SSU rRNA". It matches the Rfam family "Bacterial small subunit ribosomal RNA", at positions 28 to 773 of the family's 1533-position model. Lineage: Bacteria; Pseudomonadati; Pseudomonadota; Betaproteobacteria; Burkholderiales; Sphaerotilaceae. The record is from RNAcentral.
AUUGAACGCUGGCGGCAUGCCUUACACAUGCAAGUCGAACGGUAACGCGGGGCAACCUGGCGACGAGUGGCGAACGGGUGAGUAAUGCAUCGGAACGUGCCCAGUAGUGGGGGAUAGCCCGGCGAAAGCCGGAUUAAUACCGCAUACGACCUACGGGUGAAAGCGGGGGACCGCAAGGCCUCGCGCUAUUGGAGCGGCCGAUGUCAGAUUAGCUAGUUGGUGGGGUAAAGGCCUACCAAGGCGACGAUCUGUAGCUGGUCUGAGAGGACGACCAGCCACACUGGGACUGAGACACGGCCCAGACUCCUACGGGAGGCAGCAGUGGGGAAUUUUGGACAAUGGGGGCAACCCUGAUCCAGCCAUGCCGCGUGCGGGAAGAAGGCCUUCGGGUUGUAAACCGCUUUUGUCGGGGAAGAAACGGUCUGCGCUAAUACCGCGGGCUAAUGACGGUACCCGAAGAAUAAGCACCGGCUAACUACGUGCCAGCAGCCGCGGUAAUACGUAGGGUGCAAGCGUUAAUCGGAAUUACUGGGCGUAAAGCGUGCGCAGGCGGCUUUGCAAGACAGAUGUGAAAUCCCCGGGCUCAACCUGGGAACUGCAUUUGUGACUGCAUGGCUGGAGUGCGGCAGAGGGGGAUGGAAUUCCGCGUGUAGCAGUGAAAUGCGUAGAUAUGCGGAGGAACACCGAUGGCGAAGGCAAUCCCCUGGGCCUGCACUGACGCUCAUGCACGAAAGCGUGGGGAGCAAAC